ACUGCCCUACGGGGCGCAGCAGUAGGGAAUCUUCCACAAUGGGCGCAAGCCUGAUGGAGCAACACCGCGUGAGUGAAGAAGGGUUUCGGCUCGUAAAGCUCUGUUGUUGGAGAAGAACGUGCGUGAGAGUAACUGUUCACGCAGUGACGGUAUCCAACCAGAAAGUCACGGCUAACUACGUGCCAGCAGCCGCGGUAAUACGUAAGGGGCAAGCGUUAUCCGGGUUUAUUGGGCGUAAAG
This 240-nucleotide ribosomal RNA is filed under the name uncultured bacterium. RNAcentral describes it as "partial 16S ribosomal RNA". It matches the Rfam family "Bacterial small subunit ribosomal RNA", at positions 333 to 565 of the family's 1533-position model. The record is from RNAcentral.